Molecule: ribosomal RNA, 1753 nt
Filed under: Triticum aestivum (bread wheat)
Lineage: Eukaryota; Viridiplantae; Streptophyta; Magnoliopsida; Poales; Poaceae
Description: partial small subunit ribosomal RNA
Source: RNAcentral
GGUGGGGGGCCCGUCGGGUUGGUGGGUUUGGGAUAGGGUAGGGUGAGGUAACAGCGGCGGGGUCUACGUUAGAGCGGCGGUGAGGUAGGAGAGGUCGAGCGCGUGCGAGCGGCGGCGGCGCCGGCGUGAGUCCCGUAUUGCCUGAAGGGGGCGGACCUAGAGCGCAGUGACGAGAGGAGGCAACGGAGGGCCUGAAUGGGAGCGAGACCUAGGUCAGAUGGUUCUCGGGUUGGAGCGACGGUUCAGGUAACGGCGGCGGAUGCAGGAUACAAGGAUGUCGUCCGCGGCGGUGUAGCGGGGGGGACGAGCUGAAAAAAACACUCCCCAAGGGGGACGAGCUGAGACAGCCGAGAGGAGGUCGUGCACUGGGUCCCAGCGUACCACCCGACGCGGUCGGACGGCCGGCGUCCGGGGAGCGGCUGUACCCGGGCUCGGGGUGUUCCACUCCGUCGGCGGGGAGGAGCGGACCGCUCCGUCGACCUCUUCUUCAGCGCCCUGGCCUCCGACGGUAUCCUGCUCUAGGAGACGACGACGACACAGACCACCAACUUCUUCCCCACACAACCCUUCUCCUCCGUCACAACUCUCACGAGCUAGACCUUGUCCUGCUCGAACCCGACGUAGCCGAGACCAAGAGUUGGAGGUUGUACUCAGGGAAAGAAGGCACGGAGCUUGCGGUACUCAGUAGUACCCGUGACGUCUACGCCUCCUCAAAAAGGCCCCGCUAGACGAACAAGGGCCGGCGCGACCACAGUUGAUGGAGCUCGGUGAUACUGGUAGGGUUGGUACGAGUGGGGGGACUUGCUUAACAAACACCUAGACGUUUCCCCCUAAGUUAAUUAAAAGUCAACAUCUUUUCCCUCUUCCCCCUAAGUUAAUUAAAAGGAGGAGUUCUAGUUUCUUUGUUUUAGAAACACCGCUCCUAUCUUCCCCAAGUGCUGAAGUGCAAUUAUGUGUCUGAUAACCAUCGAGUACCGCUCACUACGCACUCGGUAGAGCUAGGAAAACGAGACAAUAAUAUAAAAUCGGUACUUCCUAAAUGACGAUCAGUCAAGCAUCACCUAGGCCGACAAACGACUUGAAAACAAGAACGAACACGAUAAAAAAAAUGACAAAUCUACCGAGUUAAAUGAAGGUUAAAAUGAGAACUCAAAAGGGUACGUACGUAUGAGACAAUUAAAUAAGGCUCACGGGUAUCAAGGGAGAGAUCGUCGUGGUGAACACGAGAACAGAGUGGGUAUUGUUGUUAAAUGAUCAUCAUACAGAGAACCGUACCCACGAUCGAAUCCAGGGAAGAUGAUGAUGAGGUGAAUCAUUGAACAGACAUAAGAUAAUGAAACAUGGAUACACACACUCGACACAAUAUAAGUAGAAGGAGUUCAUGAUGUUGUGACCAUCAACAUGUGUAUACUACCACUAAGCGAGGCCAGUAAGGUCAAAACCGCCACCACCACGACGACGAGGAUACUACCAUCUGAGCAGACUAAGGGGAUCGGCGUAGGUACCACUACUUCGAGCCGGAUCCGAUCUUGGGGGAGGUUAAACGAAUUCUAGUGCCUUCGAACCCAACUACCUCACGAACAUAAAUCAAAAACAAAACUGCAACACUUUGAACGAUGGAUACCUACUUUGACGCAUUAUAACUACUUUGAUACAUAUACAUGCCUACUUUGAACGAUAAUAACCAUUGUACACAACCUAUAUAUACACAAGUACUGAUAACCAUUAUACACAACUUAUACGAUAUAACCAG